This 253-nucleotide ribosomal RNA is filed under the name uncultured bacterium. Its description in RNAcentral is "partial 16S ribosomal RNA". It matches the Rfam family "Bacterial small subunit ribosomal RNA", at positions 524 to 776 of the family's 1533-position model. The record is from RNAcentral.
UACGGGGGGAGCAAGCGUUGUUCGGAUUUACUGGGCGUAAAGGGCGCGUAGGCGGCACCGCAAGUCGACUGUGAAAUCUCCGGGCUUAACUCGGAAAGGUCAGCCGAUACUGCGGGGCUAGAGUGCAGAAGGGGCAACUGGAAUUCUCGGUGUAGCGGUGAAAUGCGUAGAUAUCGAGAGGAACACCUGCGGCGAAGGCGGGUUGCUGGGCUGACACUGACGCUGAUGCGCGAAAGCCAGGGGAGCAAACGGG